This 253-nucleotide ribosomal RNA is filed under the name uncultured bacterium. RNAcentral describes it as "partial 16S ribosomal RNA". It matches the Rfam family "Bacterial small subunit ribosomal RNA", at positions 524 to 776 of the family's 1533-position model. The record is from RNAcentral.
UACGUAGGUGGCGAGCGUUGUCCGGAUUUACUGGGCGUAAAGAGCGCGCAGGCGGUCGUUCAAGUCGCGUGUGAAAGCCCCCGGCUCAACUGGGGAGGGUCACGCGAUACUGAUCGACUCGAAGGCAGGAGAGGGAAGUGGAAUUCCCGGUGUAGUGGUGAAAUGCGUAGAUAUCGGGAGGAACACCAGUGGCGAAGGCGACUUCCUGGCCUGUUCUUGACGCUGAGGCGCGAAAGCUAGGGGAGCAAACCGG